Molecule: ribosomal RNA, 757 nt
Filed under: uncultured cyanobacterium
Lineage: Bacteria; Bacillati; Cyanobacteriota
Description: bacterial SSU rRNA
Rfam family: Bacterial small subunit ribosomal RNA
Source: RNAcentral
GAUGAACGCUGGCGGUAUGCUUAACACAUGCAAGUCGAACGAAAGUCUUCGGACUUUAGUGGCGGACGGGUGAGUAACGCGUGAGAAUCUGCCUAUAGGUUGGGGACAACAGAUGGAAACGUCUGCUAAUACCGAAUAUGCCGAGAGGUAAAAGCUUUAGUGCCUGUAGAUGAGCCCGCGUCCGAUUAGCUAGUUGGUGAGGUAAGAGCUUACCAAGGCGACGAUCGGUAGCUGGUCUGAGAGGGUGAUCAGCCACACUGGGACUGAGACACGGCCCAGACUCCUACGGGAGGCAGCAGUGGGGAAUUUUCCGCAAUGGGCGAAAGCCUGACGGAGCAAUACCGCGUGCGGGACGAAGGCUUUUGGGUCGUAAACCGCUUUUGUUAGGGAAGAACACAAUGACGGUACCUAACGAAUCAGCAUCGGCUAACUCCGUGCCAGCAGCCGCGGUAAUACGGGGGAUGCAAGCGUUAUCCGGAAUUAUUGGGCGUAAAGCGUCCGCAGGUGGUUUAUCAAGUCUGCUGUUAAAUAGUGGGGCUUAACCCCAUAAAGGCAGUGGAAACUGAGAGACUAGAGUACGGUAGGGGUAGCGGGAAUUCCCAGUGUAGCGGUGAAAUGCGUAGAUAUUGGGAGAACACCAGCGGCGAAGGCGCGCUACUGGACGAAACUGACACUCAUGGACGAAAGCUAGGGGAGCGAAAGGGAUUAGAUACCCCUGUAGUCCUAGCUGUAAACGAUGACAACUAGGUGUUGCGCG